CAAAGGUGAGCCAGUACAGGAUGGACCCGCGUCUGAUUAGCUAGUUGGUAAGGUAACGGCUUACCAAGGCGACGAUCAGUAGCCGACCUGAGAGGGUGAUCGGCCACAUUGGAACUGAGACACGGUCCAAACUCCUACGGGAGGCAGCAGUGGGGAAUAUUGCACAAUGGGCGAAAGCCUGAUGCAGCAACGCCGCGUGAGUGAUGAAGGCCUUCGGGUCGUAAAACUCUGUCCUCAAGGAAGAUAAUGACGGUACUUGAGGAGGAAGCCCCGGCUAACUACGUGCCAGCAGCCGCGGUAAUACGUAGGGGGCUAGCGUUAUCCGGAUUUACUGGGCGUAAAGGGUGCGUAGGCGGUCUUUCAAGUCAGGAGUGAAAGGCUACGGCUCAACCGUAGUAAGCUCUUGAAACUGGGAGACUUGAGUGCAGGAGAGGAGAGUGGAAUUCCUAGCGUAGCGGUGAAAUGCGUAGAUAUUAGGAGGAACACCAGUUGCGAAGGCGGCUCUCUGGACUGUAACUGACGCUGAGGCACGAAAGCGUGGGGAGCAAACAGGAUUAGAUACCCUGGUAGUCCACGCUGUAAACGAUGAGUACUAGGUGUCGGGGGUUACCCCCUUCG
RNAcentral lists this ribosomal RNA (618 nucleotides) under uncultured bacterium. Its description in RNAcentral is "bacterial SSU rRNA". It matches the Rfam family "Bacterial small subunit ribosomal RNA", at positions 202 to 842 of the family's 1533-position model. The record is from RNAcentral.